Alligator sinensis (Chinese alligator) is the source of this 316-nucleotide long non-coding RNA. RefSeq lists it as uncharacterized. Lineage: Eukaryota; Metazoa; Chordata; Crocodylia; Alligatoridae. The transcript has 4 exons. The record is from RefSeq and is a predicted model, not a curated record.
UGGGAACGAAGCAAGAAGGAACUCUGCAAAGGUGACUAGCUAACAGAUGCAAGCAACAACCUUGCUUCCUUCUUUCUUCUGCAAUAACAGUGAGCUCAUACUGUUCAAGUUGACUUCAUCCAGAGGUUCAAAUACUAAGACUAGAAAGAAUGCCUAUGGCUUUGCAAGCAUUGAUAUGGUGGCCCAUAAUUGGGCUGAUGAAAUGCAGCCGCAGUGCAGCAUGUAGGCUGUGAAGACACAGAUUGCAGCUGAUGUUUAUCAUGUUCAGCAACUAGAGGAGACAAGCUAAAAGUGGAAAACUGUGUAAGAUGCACAA